AACGAACGCUGGCGGCAUGCCUAACGCAUGCAAGUCGAACGAGAUCUUCGGGUCUAGUGGCGCACGGGUGCGUAACGCGUGGGAAUCUGCCCUUUGGUUCGGAAUAACAGUUGGAAACGACUGCUAAUACCGGAUGAUGACGAAAGUCCAAAGAUUUAUCGCCAGAGGAUGAGCCCGCGUAGGAUUAGCUAGGUGGUGUGGUAAAGGCGCACCAAGGCGACGAUCCUUAGCUGGUCUGAGAGGAUGAUCAGCCACACUGGGACUGAGACACGGCCCAGACUCCUACGGGAGGCAGCAGUGGGGAAUAUUGGACAAUGGGCGAAAGCCUGAUCCAGCAAUGCCGCGUGAGUGAUGAAGGCCUUAGGGUUGUAAAGCUCUCUUACCCGGGAUGAUAAUGACAGUACCGGGAGAAUAAGCUCCGGCUAACUCCGUGCCAGCCGCCGCGGUAA
RNAcentral lists this ribosomal RNA (449 nucleotides) under uncultured bacterium. Its description in RNAcentral is "partial 16S ribosomal RNA". It matches the Rfam family "Bacterial small subunit ribosomal RNA", at positions 29 to 523 of the family's 1533-position model. The record is from RNAcentral.